AACGAACGCUGGCGGCAUGCCUAACACAUGCAAGUCGAACGAGACCUUCGGGUCUAGUGGCGCACGGGUGCGUAACGCGUGGGAACCUGCCCUUAGGUUCGGAAUAACUCCCCGAAAGGGGUGCUAAUACCGGAUAAUGUCUUCGGACCAAAGAUUUAUCGCCUUUGGAUGGGCCCGCGUUGGAUUAGCUAGUUGGUAGGGUAAAAGCCUACCAAGGCGACGAUCCAUAGCUGGUCUGAGAGGAUGAUCAGCCACACUGGGACUGAGACACGGCCCAGACUCCGACGGGAGGCAGCAGUGGGGAAUAUUGGACAAUGGGCGAAAGCCUGAUCCAGCAAGGCCGCGUGAGUGAUGAAGGCCUUAGGGUUGUAAAGCUCUUUUACCCGGGAUGAUAAGGACAGUACCGGGAGAAUAAGCUCCGGCUAACUCCGU
This 432-nucleotide ribosomal RNA is filed under the name uncultured bacterium. RNAcentral describes it as "partial 16S ribosomal RNA". It matches the Rfam family "Bacterial small subunit ribosomal RNA", at positions 29 to 506 of the family's 1533-position model. The record is from RNAcentral.